Molecule: ribosomal RNA, 465 nt
Filed under: Vreelandella stevensii
Lineage: Bacteria; Pseudomonadati; Pseudomonadota; Gammaproteobacteria; Oceanospirillales; Halomonadaceae
Description: partial 16S ribosomal RNA
Rfam family: Bacterial small subunit ribosomal RNA
Source: RNAcentral
CCUACGGGAGGCAGCAGUGGGGAAUAUUGGACAAUGGGGGGAACCCUGAUCCAGCCAUGCCGCGUGUGUGAAGAAGGCCCUCGGGUUGUAAAGCACUUUCAGUGAGGAAGAACGCCUGGUGGUUAAUACCCAUCAGGAAAGACAUCACUCACAGAAGAAGCACCGGCUAACUCCGUGCCAGCAGCCGCGGUAAUACGGAGGGUGCGAGCGUUAAUCGGAAUUACUGGGCGUAAAGCGCGCGUAGGUGGCUUGAUAAGCCGGUUGUGAAAGCCCCGGGCUCAACCUGGGAACUGCAUCCGGAACUGUCAAGCUUGAGUGCAGGAGAGGAAGGUAGAAUUCCCGGUGUAGCGGUGAAAUGCGUAGAGAUCGGGAGGAAUACCAGUGGCGAAGGCGGCCUUCUGGACUGACACUGACACUGAGGUGCGAAAGCGUGGGUAGCAAACAGGAUUAGAUACCCUUGUAGUC